AUGAACAAUCUACUCGUUCACCUCGAUCUACAAUCCAUGACCACCACCACCAUCACCAAUUCGAUGACAACGACGACCAGCCAGCAGAGACAAGCCAUGGCGACCUGCAGCCAGCUCCUCCUCGCGCUCGUCGUCGUUGCCGCCGCCGUUGAUUGCAUGGCGGCGUUUGAUCAGGAUCACACGCCGUUCAAGCCAAUCCCGGACCUGUCCGUCCCGCGCAUCCAGGAGCUCGGCCGAUGGGCCGUGCAGCAGCACAAUGAUCAGACGGGCGACCGCCUGACGUUCACCAGAGUGAACGGCGGGCAGUUCCAGAUUGUGGCGCCGGCGCUCAACUACCUGCUUGCCAUUGACGCGACGAACGUCGACGGCACGGCCAGCACGCACUCCGCCCUGAUCUUCGUGCAGUACUGGACCAACACGCAACGGCUCGACUCUUUCAACUGA
RNAcentral lists this ribosomal RNA (444 nucleotides) under Triticum aestivum (bread wheat). Its description in RNAcentral is "partial small subunit ribosomal RNA". The record is from RNAcentral. Lineage: Eukaryota; Viridiplantae; Streptophyta; Magnoliopsida; Poales; Poaceae.